CAGCAGCCGCGGGAAUACGUAGGUCCCGAGCGUUGUCCGGAUUUAUUGGGCGUAAAGCGGGCGCAGGCGGUUAGAUAAGUCUGAAGUUAAAGGCUGUGGCUUAACCAUAGUACGCUUUGGAAACUGUUUAACUUGAGUGCAAGAGGGGAGAGUGGAAUUCCAUGUGUAGCGGUGAAAUGCGUAGAUAUAUGGAGGAACACCGGUGGCGAAAGCGGCUCUCUGGCUUGUAACUGACGCUGAGGCUCGAAAGCGUGGGGAGCAAACAGGAUUAGAUACCCCGGUAGUCCCUGUCUCUUAUACA
RNAcentral lists this ribosomal RNA (301 nucleotides) under uncultured bacterium. Its description in RNAcentral is "partial 16S ribosomal RNA". It matches the Rfam family "Bacterial small subunit ribosomal RNA", at positions 509 to 808 of the family's 1533-position model. The record is from RNAcentral.